GCCUCCUUCAGCGCGUGGUGCAUGUGCAGC
Molecule: non-coding RNA, 30 nt
Filed under: Homo sapiens (human)
Lineage: Eukaryota; Metazoa; Chordata; Mammalia; Primates; Hominidae
Source: RNAcentral